Molecule: small nucleolar RNA, 128 nt
Organism: Zalophus californianus (California sea lion)
Lineage: Eukaryota; Metazoa; Chordata; Mammalia; Carnivora; Otariidae
Source: Ensembl
AUAGCACCUUCACAGGUCCUCCCCUGACAUUGGGGCCAGGAUUUGGUAGCUGGUGCUGAAAGAAAAUCCUUGAUUGCAUCCUGGCCCUGGAACCGUGCCAGGGGCAGCUGUCACUCAGUGGGAGAGAA